AUGUGUGUCCCAAAAAAUCAAGGAGGUAUGGGCUUCAGAGAUAUACAUUGUUUCAAUCUGGUUUUGUUAGCCAAGCAAGCAUGGCGGCUGAUUGAUAAUCCCGACUCCUUAUGUGCUUCUAUAUUGAGAGCUAAAUAUUCCCUGGUAGGGGAUUUAAUGAAUGCAAACCUAAAAAAGGCUCCUCUUUUACUUGGCAAAGUAUUAUGGUGGGAGUGA
Molecule: ribosomal RNA, 216 nt
Filed under: Triticum aestivum (bread wheat)
Lineage: Eukaryota; Viridiplantae; Streptophyta; Magnoliopsida; Poales; Poaceae
Description: partial small subunit ribosomal RNA
Source: RNAcentral